This 5076-nucleotide long non-coding RNA is filed under the name Mytilus galloprovincialis (Mediterranean mussel). The record is from RNAcentral. Lineage: Eukaryota; Metazoa; Mollusca; Bivalvia; Mytilida; Mytilidae.
GAGGUAUUAACCCCUGUUAUGACUGAUAUACAUGUGUACAUGUAUGUUCUAAAAUGGUAAAGAGUUAUGUUGCGUGACUAAAAUCUUUCGAUCUUUUUAUUCAGCAGAUAUGUCUGGUUAAGGCAGAGGUAUGUUUUUUUUAAAGAUUCUGCUUGCAAUAUUUCAUAAUCACACGCAUAAAGACAAAAACAAACAUAAACACCCUUACUUUGAACUUCGAAACUUUGUUUAUUUUAAUUGAAUUCUUAACCAAAUAAUUUUUAAACAUGUUGAAAUUGUGUCUAUGUUGUCUGAUGUAUUUCAAACUUGAUUGUGAAUUUCUUCUGAAUUUGUGAUUUGCAUUUGUUUUUAACGAUCUAAAGAAAUUCGCAAUUUAUAAUUUGAUUUUGAAAAAAAAACCUAAUGUUUCAAAGUCAAUGCAGGAAAAUACAAGCUUACUAUAUAUAAUUAUGUAAACCUCAGAUCUGUGUACGACCUCAAAUCUGUGUCCGUUUCUCAAAUAUAUGCCCCAUCGUGACGUCAAUCGCUAAUCUAUGUCCGUAAAAAAGAUUCGGCCUCAAAUCUGUGUCCGAUUUUCAAUCGUGACGUCAUUCGCAAAUCUGUGUCCGUUAAAAAGAUAAGGUCUCAAAUCUGUGUAAUGUGUUUUCCAAUUUGUGUCGCCAUGCGCAAAUUUAUGCCCGUCUACUAAAUUUGGCCUUAUAGGUUUUUUUUUAUUUUAUUAAGUAAUUGUCCAUAAUUCAAUAUUAAGUUGGUGUGUGUUCUCCAUGUAUGUGCAAGAGCUGAAGUUUAGUAUGCGUUUAAGAAAAUCCGCCUUAAUUAUUUAGCUGGUAUUUAUAAUAUUGUUUCAGUACGGUCCUAUAUGCUUUUUGUUUUAUCAAGUCAUUUUUCCAUGUGUGUGGUUAAAAUCUUAACCUGCGUGGGUUAUUAUUGUAUGCCGUCUUUAAGAAUGAAACUACACAUAUUUAUUUUACUAAAAAAGACAGCAAAGAAUGAAUAUUUGUUUGCAACUUCGACGUACUUCGUUUUGUCUUAUGAAUUUGUUCAUAUCGAUCAUUGACAUUUAUACCACUUUAUCUAUGUUUUUCCUUAAAUACUAGUAUCAAAAAAUCAUUCUCAAUUGAUAAAAAAAAAACGUUCUUUAUAUUUGAAAUAUUUGUGAAUCACAAUAGAACAUAUAUCAAUUGUUUGGUAUUAGCUGAUAUCUAUUUAGUUCAAAUGUAAAACUUGUAAUAAUGUCUUUAAUAACGAACAUAUUUCCCCGAGAAGAAUCAUUCUUUAUGUUUUGGCACAUUCCUUCUCUCCAGAAACCAGAUGUAAACACCGCAGUCUAGCUUUGUUCAUGGCUGGAUUUGUUUUGAAUUAUAAAUAUUCCCCAAUAGUAGUAGUAAGUAAAGAUAUUCUGAUAAUUGUCAGAAAACAUUUCAAGAGGAUAAAUCUCUAGUUGACGUUUUUGAAAAUAUUCCAUCAGUCUACUAUUCAUAACAGAUUUUCCUCCAGGUUAAAAAAAACCAAAGCAUAAAGCAAUUUUAAACCAUGUGUAUUAAUAGAUAAAAUGUAAACCUUGCUUUUGUCAUAUAAACCACUUCUUUAAUGUUUGUUCUGUGUGAGUUAAUGCUCCGUGUCAAAGGCCGUACUUACACCUGUAAUUGUUAACUUUUCAUUGUUUACUUGAUGACGUUUUGUUAUGUUUUACGUCAAUGCAAGGACAUAGAUUUAAGUAAAUAAAGGACAUAGAUGUGAGACAAUACAGGACAUAGAUUUGGAACGUCUAUGACGCAAUAUUAAAAAGGACAUAGAUUUGCGGAAAGGACAUAGAUUUGAGGCCGGACAUAGAUUUGAGGUUUACAUAUAUAAUCCAUAUCUAUAUCUAUUUACAAUAAUAAAAUGGUUGAUUAAUGUUCAGUGAAUAUCUAUUGUCUAUUAUGUAAUAUCAAUGACAAACAAAGCGUAUGGAAGAUUUAAUAUAUAUUUUCUCGACUUCUUUUAUUUGUUUACUCAAUUCAUGUAGGAGGUCAUUCAAUUAUAUAAAGAACACUUAAAAAUCUCUCUCUCUCUCUCUCUCUCUCUCUCUCUCUCUCUCUCUCUCUCUCUCUCUCUAUAUAUAUAUAUAUAUAUAUAUAUAUAUAUAUAUAUAUAUAUACAUACUCUAAUUCGAAUUUACUUGUAAUUUUGAUACGUUAUAAUAAUUUCUUAAAUACAGUGUGAGAAAAAAAGGUGUAACAAACACACCAAACUCCAAGGUUAACCUCAAGAGGGGAUAUUCAUUGAACCGGUCAAAAUCAAAGUUAAUAGAGUGACUGACAAUCAACUGUCAUAUUCUUGACCUUUACAGGCAUUUUCCAAAUUUAACAUCAACACAAUUUACUAUCAGCAUAUUUUAUAACAAACCAAUCUAAGAAAAACAACUACGACAGACAUGAACAAAUGACAACCAUAUAUACUAGACUUGCAAAUUAAGCAAGCAUAUGUUGCACCCAUACAGACAAAUAGUCUUAACAAUUUGAAUUUGUUUAUCUGGUUUAUGAUAAUUAACUGAUCAAUUCCUUACACAGACGAACCUAAAAGCGAUGAAAAUGCUAGGCCAAAUUUAUCCAAUUUUGGUCACAAUCAUAUCUCUAGAGUAUGUAGUUUAAAAAUAUGUCCUGAUGACCCGGCCAACCAAUCAAGAUGACUGCCAUGGUUAAUAAAAUAACAGAGGAGUAAAACGUGGCCACAAUCAUCGGGUGCCACAUGUGGAGCAGGAUCUCCCUACCCUUCCGGAGCACCUGAGAUCACCCCUAGUUUUUGGUGGGGUUCGUGUUGUUUAUUCUUUAGUUUUCUAUGUUGUGUCAUGUGUGCUGUUGUGUGUUUGUCUUUUUCAUUUUUAGCCAUGGCGUUGUCAGUUUGUUUUAGACUGAUGAAUUUGACUGUCUCUUUGGUAUCUUUCGUCCCUCUGUCAUCAUAAAGGUAUCUAGCUAACAAAAUGUGUCCAAUGACCCUGACUGUCAACCAACAUGGCAGACAUGGCUAAAAAUAGAACAUAGGGGUAAAAUACAAUAUUGGCUUAUAUCUCUUAAAUUAAAGCAAAAGUAUAACGAUUGCAUUCAUUUAUAUAUGCAUCAAUCGAAAAUAAAAAUAUAUCAAGUGAGCGACACAGGCUCAUUGGAGCCUCUAUUUUAUCGUUCAUAAAGAAAUAUCUUUGAGCGCAAUGACUAGAUAAAGUGUGAAAUCAAACACAAAAGGUUUUGAAUUUUGUAAGCCAGACGUCAGUUAUAAAGUGCAAUAUUUAUUUCAUACAUAUAUUACAGGAUCAUGGCCAGUAAUUUGAAUCUUUGUGAUAUCUGUGAUAAUCGUUUGAAUACCACACCUUCAGUAGUGUGGUGUUUCGAAUGUGAUAAAGGGUUGUGUGAAAAUUGUAAAAAACCUCACAGUAUUUCAAAGGAAACAGAAAACCAUGCAACAGUUUCUAUUGGAGAACAAGAUCGCGAGCUACCGACCGAUGUCCUGAGAAUUGCCAAUUUUUGUAAAACGCAUAACGACAUAUAUGAGUUCUUCUGUAAAACACAUGAUUGUCCAUGCUGUAAGAAAUGUUUAAAAUCUCACUUCAAUUGUAAAGACAUAAACGGCAUCAAUGAAGUCACACAAAAUGUCAAAACAUCAAACGCCUUUUAUGAACUCGAGCAAACAUUGAUGGAAGUUGUCGAGAAUAUCAAAAAAAUCAUUACUGAUCGAAAAGACAAUUUAAUACAUCUAGAAAAUACGAAAAAAGAAAUUGAAACAGAAAUGAAAGAACUACGUACAAUGAUAACUAAUCAUCUGGAUAAACUACAAGAUGAUUUGAUGAAAGAAUUGUUGACAACCGAACGGAAAGAAACUAGCAAAAUAGAGACGUUGUUAACCUCUCUACAAAAGAAAGAAAAUGAGAUCGCAAAAUUCCAAGUUAACCUUGCUGAUAUAAAACAGCAUGCAACGGAUCUUCAAGCCUUUUUGUCAAUGAAACAAAUGGAAAAAGAUAUUGCGAUCGAAGAAAAAUGGAUCCAUACUAUCACCAAAAAAGACAUCACGAAUCAAGUCAAUAUUUCAUGUAACAUGAACAUGUCUUUACAGGAAAUCAGAGCCAGCGUGCAGACGUUUGGGAAUAUCUAUGUCAGUUCUGAUCGAUGUAAGUUGUCUGUUCAGAAACGAAAGGACAGGCAAGCUCAGAUUAUGGUAGCUCUUACAACCAGAAAAAUCGACAACCUGACCUUGACACUGCAGAAAAGUAUCAAUACAAGUUUAUCAAUGGUUAGUGGUUGUUCUCUGCUUCCCGAUGGAAGGAUGGUUUUCUGUGGUUAUCACCUAGGCAUAAUUAGAGUAAUGAAACCAGAUGGAUCAAAAGAUUAUGAAAUAAACGACAUUGGUAGUACAUUUGAUGUGGUAUUUGUUGGGGAUGAUUCUAUUGCUGUUACAUCUGGUGAAUCAAAGAAGAUUAAUAUAAUCAACUUAACGACGCGCAAACGUACGAAAAUAAUCAAACUUUAUACAUUCAGUGAUGGAGUGGUAUACAAAAACGGACAUUUGAUUUAUUGUUGUCGGAACAAAGGACUAAAGAUGAUUAAUCCUAGAAAUGAAUCUAUUACCAAUGUUACAUAUAACAAACUUGCGGCCUUAUCGUACGUUACAACAUUCGGUGACAAGCUGUUCUACACAAAGUAUAAAAAUAACAGUGUCACAUGUUGUGAUAACCGUGGCAACAUACUGUGGUCCUUCAUGGAUACACGUAUUCUGACAUGUCCAUUCGGCAUAUCUGUAGACAAUGCUGGUAACGUGUUUGUUGUGGGACACACUUCACAGAACGUGAUCGUCAUCUCUGCUGAUGGUAAAAGCUGCAGACAAAUUCUCAGUGAAAAUGGAUUGGACAGACCUACCGUUUUGCACUAUGACACAUUUACCAAUAAAUUAUUAGUGGCAAAUUACAACAAUCAGGCCUUCGUGUAUGAUGUAAAAUGAUAUUUUUUUUGUAUAAAGUUAUCAUUAAAUUGAGAAUGAAAAUGGGUAUGUUUGCCUAACAUAACAUUGUAUUGUUCUUGAUAAAUAGUACUGAUUAAAUUUCAAAAG